RNAcentral lists this ribosomal RNA (510 nucleotides) under uncultured bacterium. Its description in RNAcentral is "partial 16S ribosomal RNA". It matches the Rfam family "Bacterial small subunit ribosomal RNA", at positions 28 to 507 of the family's 1533-position model. The record is from RNAcentral.
GACGAACGCUGGCGGCGUGCUUAACACAUGCAAGUCGAACGAAGAGCGACGGAAGCUUGCUUCUCUCAAUCUUAGUGGCGAACGGGUGAGUAACGCGUAAUCAACCUGCCCUUCAGAGGGGGACAACAGUUGGAAACGACUGCUAAUACCGCAUACGAUCUAACCUCGGCAUCGAGGAUAGAUGAAAGGUGGCCUCUACAUGUAAGCUAUCACUGAAGGAGGGGAUUGCGUCUGAUUAGCUAGUUGGAGGGGUAACGGCCCACCAAGGCGAUGAUCAGUAGCCGGUCUGAGAGGAUGAACGGCCACAGUGGGACUGAGACACGGCCCAGACUCCUACGGGAGGCAGCAGUGGGGAAUCUUCCGCAAUGGACGAAAGUCUGACGGAGCAACGCCGCGUGAGUGAUGACGGCCUUCGGGUUGUAAAGCUCUGUUAAUCGGGACGAAAGGCCUUCUUGCGAAUAGUGAGAAGGAUUGACGGUACCGGAAUAGAAAGCCACGGCUAACUACGUG